CCUACGGGAGGCUGCAGUGAGGAAUAUUGGUCAAUGGGCUUACGCCUGAACCAGCCAAGUCGCGUGAGGGAAGACUGCCCUAUGGGUUGUAAACCUCUUUUGUCAGGGAGCAACGCCGGCUACGUGUAGCCGGACUGAGAGUACCUGAAGAAAAAGCAUCGGCAAACUCCGGGCAAGCAGCCCGGGUACUACGGAGGAUGCGAGCGUUAUCCGGAUUUUUUGGGUUUAAAGGGUGCGUAGGCGGAAUGCCAAGUCAGCGGUAAAAUCGCGGGGCUCAACCUCGCUCCGCCGUUGAAACUGGCGUUCUUGAGUGGGCGAGAAGUAUGCGGAAUGCGUGGUGCAGCGGUGAAAUGCAUAGAUAUCACGCAGAACUCCGAUUGCGAAGGCAGCAUACCGGCGCCCAACUGACGCUGAAGCACGAAAGCGUGGGUAUCGAACAGGAUUAGAUACCCUGGUAGUC
RNAcentral lists this ribosomal RNA (460 nucleotides) under uncultured bacterium. RNAcentral describes it as "partial 16S ribosomal RNA". It matches the Rfam family "Bacterial small subunit ribosomal RNA", at positions 338 to 795 of the family's 1533-position model. The record is from RNAcentral.